Molecule: unclassified non-coding RNA, 23 nt
Filed under: Mus musculus (house mouse)
Lineage: Eukaryota; Metazoa; Chordata; Mammalia; Rodentia; Muridae
Description: oocyte_clustered_small_RNA6627
Source: RNAcentral
UACUUUCCAUUCAUCCCAGACCA